This 840-nucleotide ribosomal RNA is filed under the name Flavivirga sp. RNAcentral describes it as "bacterial SSU rRNA". It matches the Rfam family "Bacterial small subunit ribosomal RNA", at positions 28 to 868 of the family's 1533-position model. Lineage: Bacteria; Pseudomonadati; Bacteroidota; Flavobacteriia; Flavobacteriales; Flavobacteriaceae. The record is from RNAcentral.
GAUGAACGCUAGCGGCAGGCCUAACACAUGCAAGUCGAGGGGUAACAUUGGUGCUUGCACCAGAUGACGACCGGCGCACGGGUGCGUAACGCGUAUACAAUCUACCUUAUACUGGAGGAUAGCCUUUAGAAAUGAAGAUUAAUACUCCAUAGUUUACAGACAUGGCAUCAUGAUUGUAAUAAAGAUAACGGUAUAAGAUGAGUAUGCGUUCUAUUAGCUAGUUGGUAUGGUAACGGCAUACCAAGGCAACGAUAGAUAGGGGCCCUGAGAGGGGGAUCCCCCACACUGGUACUGAGACACGGACCAGACUCCUACGGGAGGCAGCAGUGAGGAAUAUUGGACAAUGGAGGCAACUCUGAUCCAGCCAUGCCGCGUGCAGGAAGACUGCCCUAUGGGUUGUAAACUGCUUUUAUACAGGAAGAAACCCCUCUACGUGUAGAGGCUUGACGGUACUGUAAGAAUAAGGAUCGGCUAACUCCGUGCCAGCAGCCGCGGUAAUACGGAGGAUCCAAGCGUUAUCCGGAAUCAUUGGGUUUAAAGGGUCCGUAGGUGGAUGAUUAAGUCAGAGGUGAAAUCCUGCAGCUCAACUGUAGAAUUGCCUUUGAUACUGGUUGUCUUGAGUUAUUAUGAAGUAGUUAGAAUAUGUAGUGUAGCGGUGAAAUGCAUAGAUAUUACAUAGAAUACCAAUUGCGAAGGCAGAUUACUAAUAAUAUACUGACACUGAUGGACGAAAGCGUGGGGAGCGAACAGGAUUAGAUACCCUGGUAGUCCACGCCGUAAACGAUGGAUACUAGCUGUUCGGACUUCGGUCUGAGUGGCUAAGCGAAAGUGAUAAGUAUC